Molecule: ribosomal RNA, 253 nt
Filed under: uncultured bacterium
Lineage: Bacteria
Description: partial 16S ribosomal RNA
Rfam family: Bacterial small subunit ribosomal RNA
Source: RNAcentral
UACAGAGGUCUCAAGCGUUGUUCGGAUUCAUUGGGCGUAAAGGGUGCGUAGGCGGCGCGGUAAGUCGGGCGUGAAAUCUCGGAGCUUAACUCCGAAACUGCAUUCGAUACUGCCGUGCUUGAGGACUGGAGAGGAGACUGGAAUUUACGGUGUAGCGGUGAAAUGCGUAGAUAUCGUAAGGAAGACCAGUGGCGAAGGCGGGUCUCUGGACAGUUCCUGACGCUGAGACGCGAAAGCGUGGGGAGCGAACAGG